This 835-nucleotide small RNA is filed under the name Pan troglodytes (chimpanzee). Its description in RNAcentral is "pseudogene". Lineage: Eukaryota; Metazoa; Chordata; Mammalia; Primates; Hominidae. The record is from RNAcentral.
GGAGGGAGGAGGAGGGAGGCGGCGAGGAGCCGACGGCUCCACCUGAUGGAGAAGCGCGGAGAGUCCCUAGACCUCGGAGUGCGCUGCAAGAGGGGAGAGGAGAGAGACCGCCGCCCCUGCUGGAAGCCUUCGCGUCCGGGGGGCGGCGCGCGGGGGACGGGGUCUCUGGACAGUCGGUGGAGGCAGCAGCCCUACAGAGACAGCCGAAAGCCAGCAACUUGGAAAACCGCCCGAAUUCUGGUUUUCUGCACAUCCAGGCUGGCUCCAGGUCUCUUGUGCCCACCGUGCAAGCCGGUGGGAUGCCAGCAGGUGGCAUCCUCUCCAGCGUUUCUUCGCCAGGCGUGGAGUCCGGAGGCCGAAUCCAUCAGUCCCCAGCCCCCUCCCCAAGCCUCCGGUGCCAAGUGCUGGGUCCUGUGAGCCCCUGGCCCCGCCCCCCACCUCCGCCAGCGGGGCGAGCCGGAGCUGGAUGGCCCAGACCCGCGCGGAGGCGGGAGCCUACAGAGGAUGCCGGCCGGCCCCAGGUUCUGCUGCUGGCUGGCCAAGAAGUGACAGGAGGGCAAGGCUCCCCCGGAAAGCGUCCAAGCCCUGCUCUCCUGCUCUUCCAAGCCUUGCUGCCUGUUGCCCCCAGGGUUUUCUGAGUUCUGGGACGAAGAGAGUGAUGCGCAAGGUUCUGGGUCCCGGUGCAGGAGUGAGGGGUACGGCUGUCGAGUGCUCGGAGCAGGCUGGCUUUUGGGCACACUGCAGACCUCAGCUCACCGCCACUUUCUCCUGACCUUCCUCGUGGCUGUCAGCCCAAUGUCUAACAUGUGUUAUUCCCUCGCUUUGUUCAAAGGCC